Molecule: non-coding RNA, 178 nt
Organism: Camelina sativa (false flax)
Lineage: Eukaryota; Viridiplantae; Streptophyta; Magnoliopsida; Brassicales; Brassicaceae
Source: RefSeq, a predicted model, not a curated record
UGACAGGCUACUCAGGUCAAGACGAACAUAUUGCGCUUUUCUGGUUAUAAAUGGCAAGGAGAUGAGGAAAAGGCAAAAUUGAAAGUAAAAGAGAAGCUUGACAAAAACAACAAAGAUAAAUUGCUGGAGUUUUGUGAAAUAUUUGACAUAUCAGUUGCUAAGGCUACAGCUAAGAAGG